This 252-nucleotide ribosomal RNA is filed under the name uncultured bacterium. Its description in RNAcentral is "partial 16S ribosomal RNA". It matches the Rfam family "Bacterial small subunit ribosomal RNA", at positions 524 to 775 of the family's 1533-position model. The record is from RNAcentral.
UACGAAGGGGGCUAGCGUUGCUCGGAAUCACUGGGCGUAAAGCGCACGUAGGCGGACUCUUAAGUCAGGGGUGAAAUCCUGGAGCUCAACUCCAGAACUGCCUUUGAUACUGGGAGUCUCGAGUUCGGGAGAGGUGAGUGGAACUGCGAGUGUAGAGGUGAAAUUCGUAGAUAUUCGCAAGAACACCAGUGGCGAAGGCGGCUCACUGGCCCGAUACUGACGCUGAGGUGCGAAAGCGUGGGGAGCAAACAG